GCUGGUGUGGCUCAAAGGCAGAGCAGCGGUAUCGUAAACCGCAGGUUGUCGGUUCGAUUCCGACUACCAGCUCCA
RNAcentral lists this transfer RNA (75 nucleotides) under Ruminiclostridium cellobioparum subsp. termitidis CT1112. RNAcentral describes it as "tRNA-Thr". It matches the Rfam family "tRNA". Rfam says of the family: Transfer RNA (tRNA) molecules are approximately 80 nucleotides in length. Their secondary structure includes four short double-helical elements and three loops (D, anti-codon, and T loops). Lineage: Bacteria; Bacillati; Bacillota; Clostridia; Eubacteriales; Oscillospiraceae. The record is from RNAcentral.